AUUGGAAAGGUUGGCUGUGUAUGACUAUAUUUCAGAAAAUUCUGUGGAUGAGCACAAUCUACAUUGAUGUGAAUAAAGAUCUAGAUCUGACCCUCACCUUAAAAAAAGUAUUCUAUGUGCUUGGAUCAGUUGUUGUCGUAUUAGUGAACUCUGUUACACUGAUGACUGAACUGAUACUGAAAAUAGAUAAUGGUGAGCGUGCAGUGGGAGAUCUGAGAGUAGUCGUCUUCUCCUCUGAAAGUAUCUUCACCUUUUUUCUGCUGAUUUCGAUCAUGUUUGGACCAUGGUUUUCUAACAUGAAGUGUUUGCAGUGUUGUCAGAAUGCUAAUAAAACUCUAGCCAAUGAAUCAAUGCAGAAAACAGAAGAAUCACUUAAUAUGAAUCCUCUUCUAAAGAAUCAAGAUCAGGAUGCCGUUAAGAGUGACGUUGCAGAGGAAACUCAGCCAGAUUCAGUGGAAUCACAAACUUAAAUCAACAAUGAGAGAAAAAGACCCGGCCAGACUUGUACUAACACCUACAGAAAUACUCAUUUAUAUUUUCUGGAUCCAUGUACUGUGGCAGUGCCGUGCAGAGGGGGCGGGAGAGGGGGGUUUGAGCCCCUGCCCUUUAAAUUGCCCCUUUCAGCCAUAUCGUGGUGCCACCCCCCAAAUGCCAUCCCUGCCGAGGGGGACACUCCCCACCCCCUGGAACGUGAUUUCACCCCCAGCCCCGUGGAGGUCUGUGCACGCCAUUGUGCUGUGGUCUGAUGAAGUGAAAACUAAAGUCUUUCUACAAUUUUCAAAGGCAUAUUUGAAGAAAAUGGACAAACAUUUAAAGAAAAGAACACCUCGCCAACUGCUACACAUGAGGUGGAUUUGUCAUGCUUUGGGUUUGUGACUGUCAGUCUUUCUGUCUGUCUGUCAUUCAACUUUAUGAAGAUUUACGGUGAACUUUAAGUUCUGUACCAAACAGUACCUCACUGUAACAAACAAUUUGUAAACUUAAAGAGGUGGUUAAUUAUGAUUUCACUUUUUUAACUUUAGUUAGUGUGUAAUGUUGCUGUUUGAACAAAAACAUCAGCAAAGUUACGACGCUCAAAGUUCAAUGCAACCGGAGAUAUUUUCUUUCAAAGAAAUCACUUUUUAAGGACUACAACAAAUGGCUAGUAGGGACUACAAUGAGCUUCUUCCCGGGUUAGUUACAUCACUAACCCUUAAAUUUACAUAAACCCUGCCCCCGAGAACACGCAACAAAGGGGGUGAGGCCAUGUUAUUGCAAUACAGUACAUAACAAAUGCAAUAGCAUGUCAUAAAAGCCAGAUGACAACAUAAGAACCGUAAUUAAACUAAACUAUUCCUGUUUUACCUUCAUGCAGCAUAUAUUCUCUGGUUCUGUAGGAUCUUACAACAGUUCCCACACGAGCGAUUUAUAGAUUAUCAUGACAGAAUAUGAUAAUCAAUGACUUUAAGAUAGUUAACUCCACAUCAGCUACAUAAAUUCAUCAACUAACCAUUCAGAAACCUGUUGUAUUCUACAUAUUGUUGCUCCUUCUUGAGUCUCUCCAUCAUUGUCUGACUCUGGUUUGAACAUACAGGUGCUGGUCAUAUAAUAUCAUCAAAAAGUUGAUUUAUUUCACUAAUUCCAUUCAAAAAGUGAAACUUGUAUAUUAUAUUCAUUCAUUACACACAGACUGAUAUAUUUCAAA
This is a long non-coding RNA of Ctenopharyngodon idella (grass carp), 1684 nucleotides long. RefSeq lists it as uncharacterized. NCBI's taxonomy places the organism in Eukaryota, Metazoa, Chordata, Actinopteri, Cypriniformes, Xenocyprididae. The transcript is spliced from 5 exons. The record is from RefSeq and is a predicted model, not a curated record.